GACGAACGCUGGCGGCGUGCCUAAUACAUGCAAGUUGAGCGCUGAAGGUUGGUACUUGUACCAACUGGAUGAGCAGCGAACGGGUGAGUAACGCGUGGGGAAUCUGCCUUUGAGCGGGGGACAACAUUUGGAAACGAAUGCUAAUACCGCAUAAAAACUUUAAACACAAGGUUUAAGUUUGAAAGAUGCAAUUGCAUCACUCAAAGAUGAUCCCGCGUUGUAUUAGCUAGUUGGUGAGGUAAAGGCUCACCAAGGCGAUGAUACAUAGCCGACCUGAGAGGGUGAUCGGCCCCAUUGGGACUGAGACACGGCCCAAACUCCUACGGGAGGCAGCAGUAGGGAAUCUUCGGCAAUGGACGAAAGUCUGACCGAGCAACGCCGCGGGAGUGAAGAAGGUUUUCGGAUCGUAAAACUCUGUUGGUAGGGAAGAACGUUGGUGAGAGUGGAAAGCUCAUCAAGUGACGGUAACUACCCAGAAAGGGACGGCUAACUACGUG
This 497-nucleotide ribosomal RNA is filed under the name uncultured bacterium. RNAcentral's name for it is "partial 16S ribosomal RNA". It matches the Rfam family "Bacterial small subunit ribosomal RNA", at positions 28 to 507 of the family's 1533-position model. The record is from RNAcentral.